GAUGAAGAACGCAGCGAAAUGCGAUAAGUAAUGUGAAUUGCAGAAUUCAGUGAAUCAUCGAAUCUUUGAACGCACAUUGCGCCCGCCAGUAUUCUGGCGGGCAUGCCUGUUCGAGCGUCAUUUCAACCAUCAAGCCCUGCUUGCGUUGGGGUCCUGCGGCUGCCCGCAGGCCCUGAAAACCAGUGGCGGGCUCGCUAGUCACACCGGGCGUAGUAGAUUUUAUCUCGCUCAGGGCGUGCUGCGGGUCCCGGCCGUUAAAAGCCUUUUUUUACCCAAGGUUGACCUCGGAUCAGGUAGGAAGACCCGCUGAACUUAAGCAUAUCAAUAAGCGGAGGA
Molecule: unclassified non-coding RNA, 336 nt
Filed under: soil metagenome
Description: partial contains 5.8S ribosomal RNA, internal transcribed spacer 2, and large subunit ribosomal RNA
Rfam family: 5.8S ribosomal RNA (bases 1-120)
Source: RNAcentral